CCUACGGGUGGCAGCAGUGGGGGAUAUUGCACAAUGGAGGAAACUCUGAUGCAGCGACGCCGCGUGAGGGAAGACGGUCCUCGGAUUGUAAACCUCUGUCUUUGGGGAAGAAAAUGACGGUACCCAAAGAGGAAGCUCCGGCUAACUACGUGCCAGCGGCCGCGGUAAUACGUAGGGAGCGAGGGUUGUCCGGAAUUACUGGGUGUAAAGGGAGUGUAGGCGGGCGAGAAAGUUGAAUGUUAAAUCUACAGGCUUAACUUGUAGCUGCGUUUAAAACUUGUUGUCUUGAGUGAAGUAGAGGCAGGCGGAAUUCCUAGUGUAGCGGUGAAAUGCGUAGAUAUUAGGAGGAACACCAGUGGCGAAGGCAGCCUGCUGGGCUUUAACUGACACUGAAGCACGAAAGCGUGGGGAUCAAACAGGAUUAGAUACCCUAGUAGUC
Molecule: ribosomal RNA, 439 nt
Filed under: uncultured bacterium
Lineage: Bacteria
Description: partial 16S ribosomal RNA
Rfam family: Bacterial small subunit ribosomal RNA
Source: RNAcentral